Molecule: non-coding RNA, 30 nt
Filed under: Mus musculus (house mouse)
Lineage: Eukaryota; Metazoa; Chordata; Mammalia; Rodentia; Muridae
Source: RNAcentral
UGUAAAGGUGUCAGACCAUGAGAUCUUGGC